UGGCUAACUCCUACGGGAGGCAGCAGUAGGGAAUCUUCCGCAAUGGACGAAAGUCUGACGGAGCAACGCCGCGUGAGUGAUGAAGGCUUUCGGGUCGUAAAACUCUGUUGUUAGGGAAGAACAAGUGCUAGUUGAAUAAGCUGGCACCUUGACGGUACCUAACCAGAAAGCCACGGCUAACUACGUGCCAGCAGCCGCGGUAAUACGUAGGUGGCAAGCGUUAUCCGGAAUUAUUGGGCGUAAAGCGCGCGCCGGUGGUUUCUUAAGUCUGAUGUGAAAGCCCACGGCUCAACCGUGGAGGGUCAUUGGAAACUGGGAGAAUUGAGUGCAGAAGAGGAAAGUGGAAUUCCAUGUGUAGCGGUGAAUUGCGUAGAGAUAUGGAGGAACACCAGUGGCGAAGGCGACUUUCUGGUCUGUAACUGACACUGAGGCGCGAAAGCGUGGGGAGCAAACAGGAUUUGAUACCCCUGUAGUACAGCUGG
Molecule: ribosomal RNA, 482 nt
Filed under: uncultured bacterium
Lineage: Bacteria
Description: bacterial SSU rRNA
Rfam family: Bacterial small subunit ribosomal RNA
Source: RNAcentral